This 6100-nucleotide long non-coding RNA is filed under the name Fragaria vesca (wild strawberry). Its description in RNAcentral is "long non-coding RNA (FVES_LNC005564)". The record is from RNAcentral. Lineage: Eukaryota; Viridiplantae; Streptophyta; Magnoliopsida; Rosales; Rosaceae.
GAUUAUUUUUAGAGUGUCGAACUAUUUUCUGCAAUUUAUUGAAGGUUGGUAGAAAGAAAAUUUAUGUUUUGAAAUUUGAAAAUUUUGGAUUAAUCUUGGCCGUCGGAUCUUUAGGGUUUUGAUCUCAACCAUCGGUUCGGAUAUAAAAAGGAUAAGAGAGGGUUGACUCGGUCAAGCACCCAGACACGGGCGUUGACCCGAGCUCCUGGUCUCUCUAAUCUCUCUCUCUUUCCUCCGUCGUCUCCUCACCGGAGCAGCGCCGUCCAGCCACCGCUGGCGACGAGACUGCCACCAAAGUGAUCCUCUCCUCCUUCUUGACGUAGCUCCGUUCUUGAAUCCCGGAGGCAUCCACUAUCGACGGAGAUUGGAAGAGGAGGACGACGACUGUUCUUCACAAAUUCCGGCGAGUCACAGUGACGAAUCGACGAACCAAGGUCCUAUUCUUGAUCUCCUUCCUCUCCUCUUCUUUUAUGGGUUUGUUUCAUCUUGAAUCGAGCUCCAACUUGACAACCCCAUUUUCUGCCUAAAAAGGGAUUUCCGGCGAGCCAUCGCCAUCGACGCCGACGAGGCUGCUCGGCGCUCCCCCUCUCCCUUCUGAUGUGGCAUCGAUCACCAGGGAGCCAUGACUAGGUUAUAUGGAGACAAAAGGUGUUCUACUGCUGUGUUGGAGGAGACCCGAAUUCCGGCAAGGAAGUUACUGCCGGUGAGGGGAAGCUUAAGACGUCGUUGUUGUUGUGCUGCAGCGAAGUAGGAGGCUACUUGUAGGCUAUAUGGUGGUGGGAGGUCUUUACUUGUCGAUUGAGGGUGAAGGUUGGCUGAGCAGAGGGCAGUGUUGAUGUCCAUGAGCAGUUUUGAUGGCAGGGGUAAGUUUAUGUACUUUCAAAUGUAUCUUGAGUUGGAUGCUUGACUUUGGAGAUGGUUAAUGGCUGAUAUUGUUGUUUGGUGAAUUUCAUGUCGAUAACUUGGUGAUUCGGAAUUUACAAGGAGACUAUGGCAAAUUUUCCGGCGAGUGACGGGAAUCCGGUGAAGUUUUCUGGCGAAGCAGCAGAUCCGGCAGAGAGUCGAGAAGGUAGUUUUUGAGCAGCCUUUCUAAUUUAAGUCGUAGUGCAAUUGAUUUUGAUUAUGGUGAGGUUAUGAUUAACAAGUUCAGUUGUGCCAUUUGAGUGAAUAUUGGAUUAUGUGAUUUGGUCAUUACGUUUAUAAGUGUUGUAAUAAAUAUGGACGGUUUUGUUAAAUGGAGAAUCUGACUUCAAUUAUGGAAAAUUAUUACUGGGUGGCUCUUAAAGAAGUUGGUCUAAUAAAGGAUUUAGGUAGUGGCUUUUUCGAACAAUUCUUGUUUCCAUUACUCAAAUUGUCUUGUUUAGGAGUAAUGAAACAUUACCUAAAGAGGUCCAACUGGGAAAUGUUAAUUAGAAACGGAAGUGUGGUCACAUUACCCUAAUGAGCUUAGUACGUUAGGUGAAUUGUUGAGGAAGGGAUGCUACGAAAUUUGGGUUAAGUAUUAAUUGGCAAUUAUCAGUUUUGAUUAGGGAUCAAAUAUGCGUAAGCUUACUCAAUUGAGUUACUUAUUAAGGUCUCGAUCGUGUUAGUGUGGCACCAAAAGAAGUUAGAUCGAUAAUGGACCGUUGAGGGAAUUGUGGAGCCUUUGACCAUGGAGUCUCGGCUGAUAAUUAAUGCAACCGAAUCACUGUGAGUGGACACUUUAUUUUUAAAGGAAUAUGCAUGCAUGAUUUUAUAAGUUGUCAAUUAUAUUUUCUGAGCUUAAAUUAUGAUUUCAGCUUUUGAAUUGGUUAUGGAAUUUAUUUGAGAUUGACUGAUUGGUUAUGUUUUUGAUAAUGAAUUUAUGGAUUUGAGCUUGGGUAAGUUUUGGUAUUUGAAUUAUGAUAUCCUUUUGAUCUCUGGAUUUGAGAUUUCUUUAAAGAUUUGAGUAUGGUUUAAUUUUUGAAAAAAAUGUUAAUGAGAUGAGUUAUUUAUUUCAUUGAGCAUUUUAACGUGUGGGACACGUCAUUGAAUUUAAUUAUUUUCUUUGCUCUUUGAAUUCUUUGAGUACGGUUGGGAAUCGUACUUAUGCUUUAAUUUUGAGUUUCGGGGAAACUCACAUGGAUUUAUGUUUCUUUAUUUAUGCCAUACUUAUUGGAUCGUUAUUAUUCAUGUUAGCAUGUUGUUCCGCCUUUCGAGGCGAUGUAACUUCCACGUUUUAAGUGGGGUUACUCAAGCCCUUUCCGCCUUCGGGUGAUGUGAUGUAGUCGACGACAUCACGCAAGCCCUACAUCCUCUCUGUUAUCAUAAUAUGAAGGUGUAGGGAGUAUGAGAGUACUAUUGCCUGGGAGGCAACCGAGUCUGGGAGGCUCACUUGUAUGGCUAUAACUGUUUCUUAUUUAUUGUUGUUGACUUGACUAGCGGGGCUAGUCCAUCUUUUUGUUAUUCCUUUUGACGAAAGUCUUUAUGAAUCUUUAUUGUCGUUUUAACUAGCAGGGCUAGUCUCUUGUUUUGGUACCUUCUUCUAUGAAGGUUAUUAUUUAUCUUUGUCAUUAAUUUGACUAGUGGGGCUAGUCCGUUUUCUUGGGAUUUUCUUUAUGAAAGAUUUGUCAACACUUGCAUGCAACGGAUUUAUUGCAUAUUGGAAAGUGGGAAAGUAUUUAAGUUUUAGUUUCUUAUCCUAUGUUUAUUUUCGUCCACUCACUCUAACGUUUUUAAAUUACUUUCCCCUGGGCCCUUUGGUUUUAAAUGCCCAGAUUGCAGGCUCAGUCUAAGUGAGGUCGAGCGUACAUGGAGUCGAGGCAUAGUCAGAGGCUGCUUCCGCUUAUUCUUUAUUCAUUGUUUUUCAUUUAACUCUAGAUAUGCUCUGAUAAUCAGUUAGUGAAUUAAUGUUGGUUAUUGUUGGUUGUGGGUUUAGUUUAGUUGAGUAAUUGUUAUAUUGGGAGAUGUGUUGAACUUGGGUGAGCAGGAAGGCUCCAGGUGUUGAGGAUAGAUGUUUGGUUAUAGAAGUGUUAAGUUAGAUUUUUCAGGUAAGGGUCGUCUAUUUUUAAGGAAGGUUAUGCCGAAUUUUCGGUAAAUUUUCCUUGAAGGUGGACCCCGCAGGAUUUACUUCGGGUUUCAGGGUGAAAUUCGGGGUGGAUCCUGUCAAAAUAUAUCAUAAUUCAUCGGCUUAAAUCAUCUUAGCCGACGAAAUAAGUCAUAAUUCGUCGGCUAAGAUGAGGUUAGCCGACGAAUACCCUAAUAUUUCAUCGGCUAAACCCUAAACCCUAAACCCUAAAAUUUUUAUAUGACUUGUUGGGUCUCAUCGGUUUGAAACUAUUUUCAGUUGAAGGUCCGGGAAAAAUACGUAAUUUAGACGGUCCAAUGUUGUUUUCCGUGCGUUUAGGGGUUUGACUUACGGGAUUGACCGUCCGGAUCGAGCCCUUAACCUUGUCGAAUCAAGUUGAAUUUUUUCCCAUACAUGUAUUUUAUCAUGAUGGUCAGAUCUGACAGUGAGAUUUUGAUUUCUCAAGUUUGAUCAUCACAAUCACAACAUGCCUACUAAUGUUGUAUAACUUGUUUACCAAGUGUUUAAGUAAAUGUUCCAUUUCAAAAAUAAACUAAACUUAGAACCUACAAACGCAAAAAAGUCGUGAAAUAAGAUAUGACCAGAAUGGUGAAAUACGUCUACGGUUGAAAAAUCAAGGUAUUCCAGUAAAGUCUCAGUGCCGAUAAUUGCGGUCAAUGCAAUUUUCCAUUAUUUAUCCCUAUGGGUAGCCCUAUCUUCGGUGAUUAUUUUCCGUAAAAUUUUUAUAUGACUUGUUGGGUCUCAUCGGUUUGAAACUAUUUUCAGCUGAAGGUCCGGGCAAAAUACGUAAUUUAGACGGUCCAAUGACCUUUUCCGUGCGUUUAGGGGUUUGACUUACGGGAUUGACCGUCUGGAUCGAGCCCUUAAUGUUGUCGGAUCAAGUGGAAUUUUUUCCCAUUCAUGUAUUUUAUCAUGAUGGUCAGAUUUCCCUUUCUCAAGUUUGAUCAUCACAAUCACAAUUGGCCGAAUGUAUAAAAGGUACUUUAGCCGACGAAUUUCAACGUUUAGUCGACGAAUUUCAAGGGUUUAGCCGACGAAUUUCAAAUGUUUAGCCGACGAAUUUCAACCUUUAGCCGACGAGUUUCGUCUUAGCCAACGAGAUUUUAUAGCUUUAGCCGACGAAAUAUUUAUUUCGUCGACUAAAGUUGUCGGGUUAUAUCGCGCUGCGCUCGACAGCCUCCCCAAUCUACGAGACUAAACCCUAAACACCACCUCCACCUCCUCGCCUGCCUCGCCGUGACGCCGUCGCUCCAUAGCCUCCACCACCUCCUAGCAAAGCCCAAUCUCCCUCUCCUGGUCGCCCUCUCUCUCUCCUGGUCUCCCUCUCCCUCUCCCUAUCCUCCUGCUGCUCCAGCUGCUCCGUGAUAGGAGCACAAAGUGUGACGUUCUUAAUAUGUUUAUACCCUUUAUUUACCCUUUAUUAACUCAUAUUUAGUUGUUUUAGCUUUAUAUUUGUGUUUAGUGUAGAAUAAUUGCUUAAUUUAGAAAUAUGUAGUUUUUAGUAUUAGAAUACAUAGUAUUUUCGGAUUUGAAUAAUUUGGUGUUGAAAUUGUGCUGAGUGUUGGAAACCCUUGUUUACUCAGGAUUCCUGUCUUGAUCAAGAUUCCAUCUUUCCUCGAAGCCUAGUCCAUGAAGGAGAGGUCCAAACCAAGUCCAAUAUGGAGAAGAAGAUCUAAAUUCGGCAGAAUUUCAAGAAUAUCCAAGCCCUUGAAAAUCCGGAUUAAAUCGGGAGAAUUCCUGUACACGUGUGUCAACUUCAACGGACUCUCCAGGACAGCUCACAAUGAAUCAGAAAACGUGCCAGAUAUGGAUAGAAAGCUACGGGAGUCUAGUUUCCAAAUCAAUUGGAAUCACCUCAAUAUCUGUUUUCUAGAGGGAGUUAUGACGCAAUCAUCAGACGGAGGUCAUUCUGCCGAAAGGGAGAAAAACUAAGAAUCCUAAACCAAUUUGGUUUAGGCUUUGUGGCCGACUUCUCUAGGGUUUUUCCUCUAUAUAAAGCACGACUUCAAGGACAGAAGAGCAUCAUCAACCCGUGCAAAUAACACCAAAGCCUUUGUCGAAACUCCAUCAACCUCCAAACACCACAAUCCGAUCCCACCUUCAGCAUUCGUCCAAAGCACGUAGCCUAGGACUCCGCGCACUCGAAGAAUAGAACAAGUAGGGAUAUUUUGAAAGUGUAUUUCAUCUUCUAUUUUCGGAUUGCUAUGUGUUUGUUCUUGUUUUUGUUUGCUUUAAGUAUUUGCUUAAGUAUGUUUCGAUUCUUGUCUAUGAGAUAGAAGUACUUUUGAGCCAUGUUAUGAAUUAAAGUUUACAAUUUAUAAUCAAUGAUUUGAGGUUUUAUGCCGUGAGUUUUAUGUCUAAAUACUUUAAGAUUUUCGGUGCUAUAUUCCAUUAUCAUGUGUAGUUGAUACAAGUAGUUGAUAUUGCAUGUGUUAAUCAUCCAAAGUUCGACUUUGAUACACGUAGUUGAUAAGUUGCAUUGUCUUUGUUUUUCACCGAUUUUCUACCUAUGUUUGAUUUGGACUUGUGCUUAAACACAUCAAAUUCUUUAUGUGAUACGUAAUUGCAUGAUUAGUUUAUGUGUGUGACCAAUAAGUAGAGCAUGUAGCCGAGCUUGUUGUGUCGCGAUGUUGAAUGAAACCUGUAGUCUAAUUCUAAGUUGGUCUAUGUCAUAGGAACCACGUAGGAACUUAUGUGCAUAUCAAAUUUAGGUUGUAUAUUUGCUCACGGUGUAGACUUAAAUGAGAUUAGAAAUCGUCUUCUUUAUUCUUGCAUGGUUGUUUGGUUGAGUUUGCAUGAAUGUUGGUUGAUCACAUAUAUAUAUGUAUAGAAGUAAUUUAGGAUUUAUUAUUCUUGUCUUUUCCGAAAUCAUAAAACCUGUAAACCUAUGUGCUUAUUUUGACACUUAUAUUAGAUUAGAUGGAUCUACCCUGUAGUUGGAUCCCCGGUUUAGAACGAUCCCUGCUUGCUUUAUACUACGAUUGAUUUGUUGACAGGGUUAAUUGAUGCGUGUGCAAAUACGUCUUAUCACUCCGGCCCUCCCUCCUCCUNNNN